Esox lucius (northern pike) is the source of this 1049-nucleotide long non-coding RNA. Lineage: Eukaryota; Metazoa; Chordata; Actinopteri; Esociformes; Esocidae. The record is from Ensembl.
CUCAUUGGGUUAUUUAGUGAAUGCGCAUUUUAACUGGAAGAUAUAUACAGUAUCGAAUACAUACGCCGUAGGGAGCGAAGUUCCCUUACUGUAAGAAACAAAAAUGGCAGAUAGAGACCAUGACAAUCAUUUUCUCCCUUGUCUACAACACUACAAAAACGGCAAAUAAGCGAAAGAGGACUUAGACCAUGUAUCUAUAGCUAGCAACCAGGAACCCAAACUAACAGCACUUCGUGCUUUUUUUGGAACAGGUUGUUCAGUGUUUCCAAAUUUCAUUCAGAACGUCAUUCUCUAUCGGGCAUUGGCGUGGAACCGCUUUCUGACCGAUUUCCUGAGAUUGCUCAUGACAGCCAGUGCUACGAGCUGGCCUGACGGACAGAAACUGGAUCUUAUCGUAGCAUGGCUAUCAAGGGGGCUCGACAAGCCUCUUUAUCUCCCAGCAACACACUCCCUAGGCCUCGCAGGGGUGGAGAGAGAGAGAGAGAAUGUUGCAACACAUCCAGCUGGGAAUUAGUGGGAUUUUCAGUCAAGGAGUUUCACCAAGUGAAACCGACUACUUAUCCCAGGGGGCUGAUGUACUAUGCUGCCAUACAGAUACCGCCUGACAAUAAAGACGCAGCUGGCCUAAUCCAACUACGUUACACCUGUUGUCCAGCGUUUAAAUGGAUGUGUAACUACAAAGACUAGGGGCCAGUUUCGUGAACACAGAUUACUUUCGACUUUGAGUUCAUGUACUUUUUUGUGUUGAUCAUUGACAAAAAUGGAUAAUUAAAUUAAUUUAGAUUUUGUGUCGUAAAAUACUGAGAAGUCCUCGUGGGGUGAACACUUUUGUGGGGCACUGUAGAACCUUUAAAUUAUUAGUUUGUUGUUGACAUACGUGGUUCAGGACUCGUGUCUUUUUUUUCUGAAGUUGAAAAGACUGUUGGACUCAUCAGUCAAACACUCUGUGUGCAGGUGGUUUUCAUCAGAGAAAUACAAGCUUCAUCUAAAUGUGCUACAUUGAGUAAUGUUGCUGUAACACAAGCAAAUGUGCAUGCAUCUUAAAACCC